RNAcentral lists this ribosomal RNA (497 nucleotides) under uncultured bacterium. RNAcentral describes it as "partial 16S ribosomal RNA". It matches the Rfam family "Bacterial small subunit ribosomal RNA", at positions 28 to 507 of the family's 1533-position model. The record is from RNAcentral.
GACGAACGCUGGCGGCGUGCCUAAUACAUGCAAGUAGAACGCUGAAGAGAGGAGCUUACUCUUCUUGGAUGAGUUGCGAACGGGUGAGUAACGCGUAGGUAACCUGCCUUGUAGCGGGGGAUAACUAUUGGAAACGAUAGCUAAUACCGCAUAACAAUGGAUGACACAUGUCAUUUAUUUGAAAGGGGCAAUUGCUCCACUACAAGAUGGACCUGCGUUGUAUUAGCUAGUAGGUGAGGUAAUGGCUCACCUAGGCGACGAUACAUAGCCGACCUGAGAGGGGGAUCGGCCACACUGGGACUGAGACACGGCCCAGACUCCUACGGGAGGCAGCAGUAGGGAAUCUUCGGCAAUGGGGGCAACCCUGACCGAGCAACGCCGCGUGAGUGAAGAAGGGUGUCGGAUCGUAAAGCUCUGUUGUAAGUCAAGAACGGGUGUGAGAGUGGAAAGUUCACACUGUGACGGUAGCUUACCAGAAAGGGACGGCUAACUACGUG